RNAcentral lists this long non-coding RNA (890 nucleotides) under Sus scrofa (pig). RNAcentral describes it as "lncRNA (ENSSSCG00045013342.1)". The record is from RNAcentral. Lineage: Eukaryota; Metazoa; Chordata; Mammalia; Artiodactyla; Suidae.
AUGAAGCUGGGUGGCCUCUGCCUCCUGCUCCUCCUCGCCGUCCUUCUCACCCUCAAUGCAGAGUUCCAAGCAGUUGAUGUAGGUAUCUGUGUGACGGAGUGCAAGGUAGACCAGGACUGUGGGGCAGGAAGACGAUGCACCAGCAAUGGAUGUGGCCGGGUCUGCUCCCCAGUCCGGCGAAGAGAGGCCUGCGAGCACCAGUGCAGAGAAGACAGGGACUGUGGGAGUGGACAUCAGUGCGUGAGGAAGGGCUGUGGGCACGUCUGCGCCCCCGUCCAUCAAGUCGAUGUAGGUAUCUGUGUGAUGGAGUGCAAGGUAGACCAGGACUGUGGGGAAGGAAGAAGAUGCACCAGCAAUGGGUGUGGCCGUGUCUGCUCCCCAGUCCAGCAAAAAGAGGCCUGCGAGCACCAGUGCAGAGAAGACAGGGACUGUGGGAGUGGACAUCAGUGCGUGAGGAAGGGCUGUGGGCACGUCUGCGCCCCCGUCCAUCAAGUCGAUGUAGGUAUCUGUGUGACGGAGUGCCGUGUAGACCAGGACUGUGGGGAAGGAAGACAAUGCACCAGCAAUGGAUGUGGCCGUGUCUGCUCCCCAGCCCAGCAAAGAGAGGCCUGCGAGCACCAAUGCAGAGAAGACAAGGACUGUGGGAGUGGACAUCAGUGCGUGAGGAAGGGCUGUGGGCACGUCUGCUCCCCCAUCCCUCAAGUAGGUGAGUCUGGACUUUCUGUAGAGUGAAAUGGACUUGAGCUUUCAAGGCAAAUGUCCUUGGAUUCAAAUCCCAACUCUGCUGUUGACCAGACAGCCCCUUCAUGUCCUCAAUCUAUGAAAUACAAAAUAAGAAAACUUACCAGUUAAAGCCCAUUUUGGUUACCAUUAACCUGCUUUCUUUGCAG